GACGAACGCUGGCGGCGUGCUUAACACAUGCAAGUCGAACGGAAAGGCCCUGCUUUUGUGGGGUGCUCGAGUGGCGAACGGGUGAGUAACACGUGAGUAACCUGCCCUUGACUUUGGGAUAACUUCAGGAAACUGGGGCUAAUACCGGAUAGGAGCUCCUGCUGCAUGGUGGGGGUUGGAAAGUUUCGGCGGUUGGGGAUGGACUCGCGGCUUAUCAGCUUGUUGGUGGGGUAGUGGCUUACCAAGGCUUUGACGGGUAGCCGGCCUGAGAGGGUGACCGGCAGCAGUGGGAAUGAGAGAAGGCGGGGAGGACGACGGGAGGCAGAAGGGGGGAAGGGGGAACAAGGGUCGGAAGCCGGAUGCAGCGACGCCGAGUGAGGGAUGAGGGGGGUCGGGGAGGAAAACGCGAGCGCCGGUGACGAAGGGGGAGGGAGGGGAAGGGGUAAAGAAGAACCGGCGAAGUAAGGG
Molecule: ribosomal RNA, 468 nt
Filed under: uncultured bacterium
Lineage: Bacteria
Description: partial 16S ribosomal RNA
Rfam family: Bacterial small subunit ribosomal RNA (bases 13-373)
Source: RNAcentral